This 949-nucleotide long non-coding RNA is filed under the name Phasianus colchicus (ring-necked pheasant). RNAcentral's name for it is "lncRNA (ENSPCLG00000009527.1)". The record is from RNAcentral. Lineage: Eukaryota; Metazoa; Chordata; Aves; Galliformes; Phasianidae.
AGGGAAAAACCUGCAGCUUAGGCUGGAUACUUUAUUCUGGUAUCUAAGCUCAAGGACUGGAUAUACCAAAAGAGUGUCAGAGAAAAUUACUGAGUUCUCCAGGGCCAUCACUUCAGAAGUGCUGGAAGAAUGCAUUGCGGGGAAUUCUCUUGAGAUGGGUGACACUAUAGUUAAGGAAACAGAGAACGGAGACCCUACAGGUCAUAGAUGUAUGGCUGUACUUGGCACACCCUGAGGGUAGCUAACAGCCUCCUGUGGAGAACAAAGAACAGAUCCAGGGUGAUGCUGGUAGAGUUCCAAAUGUAAAUAGUCUGUGGGCUAGCAUCCUUCAAGACAUUUUAAUGCUGGAACUCUGAUCAGGCAGUAGCAGUUUUGGAAAUAGAAACCUUCCAUCCCAGCACCCUGAACAUGGAUUCACAUAGAUGUGCUCUUGGCUUUGACUAAUCACACUUCAAGAUUCUUGUGCAAAACAGAUGUGCAAUACUCCGUUUUCUGCUUUAAGCAGAAUGAGUUAUUGACUCAGAUUUGAGAAUUCUGCAAUCUGCAAGAGACUGGAAAACACUGAAAGUUUUUCAGGUGUGGAGUUAAAAUCUCAGUAACUCCCAUACUUGAAUCCAACCUCCUCCACUUGUGCCAAAGUUGCAGACACCAUGUUUGUCACAGUCUAGAUAAAAGUUGUAUGAAGCAUAUUGAGAGGCAGCAAAGUGCUGGAGCAACAUGCUUACUAUCCGCUCUGGUCCAGUGCUGCCAUGUGACUUCUUUGUAGGCAAUGAGUGCUGAAAGAAGUAAUGACAAGCUCUUUCUGGCCAGGAUUUUGGCAGUGGAGCAAGUCAGAUGUUGUCCAUGAGAGCUUUUGGAAAUUGUAUGACCUGAGGAAUUAACUGGGAUGGAAACCUGUAUCACACAUCUAUUAGCUUUGCCUUUGUUGUCAGGGGACAUUGUAGAAGAG